CGGCGAGUGAAGCGGGAAGAGCUCAAAUUUGAAAUCUGGCAGUCUUCGAUUGUCCGAGUUGUAAUCUAUAGAGGCGUUUUCCGUGCCGGACCGUGUCCAAGUCUCCUGGAAAGGAGUAUCAAAGAGGGUGAUAAUCCCGUACUUAACACGACCACCGGUGCUCUGUGAUACGUCUUCUACGAGUCGAGUUGUUUGGGAAUGCAGCUCAAAAUGGGUGGUGAAUUCCAUCUAAAGCUAAAUAUUGGCGAGAGACCGAUAGCGAACAAGUACCGUGAGGGAAAGAUGAAAAGCACUUUGGAAAGAGAGUUAAACAGUACGUGAAAUUGUUGAAAGGGAAACGAUUGAAGUCAGUCGUGUUCUUUGGAUUCAGCCAGUUCUGCUGGUCUACUUCCUUUGAACGGGUCAACAUCAGUUUUGUCCGGUGGAUAAAGGUAGUAGGAAUGUGACUUCUCCGGAAGUGUUAUAGCCUAUUAUCACAUACACUGGGUGAGACUGAGGACUGCAGCUCGCCUUUAUGGCCGACCUUCGGGUACGUUCGAGCUUAGGAUGUUGACAUAAUGGCUUUAAACGACCCGUCUUGA
Molecule: ribosomal RNA, 581 nt
Filed under: Trichosporon insectorum
Lineage: Eukaryota; Fungi; Basidiomycota; Tremellomycetes; Trichosporonales; Trichosporonaceae
Description: partial large subunit ribosomal RNA
Rfam family: Eukaryotic large subunit ribosomal RNA
Source: RNAcentral